This 1367-nucleotide ribosomal RNA is filed under the name Hydropsyche orris. RNAcentral's name for it is "16S ribosomal RNA". The record is from RNAcentral. Lineage: Eukaryota; Metazoa; Arthropoda; Insecta; Trichoptera; Hydropsychidae.
AAAUUWWUMWAAUWAAUUUUUUAAAAUAAAUAAAUGAAUUAUUUUUUCAAAUCAAUUAAUGAAUUAUUYWUUGAUUUUUGGUAUAUGUUMUYUCUCRCUCGCACWYAKUGRYWGACUUUUUAAUAAAUGUUUGAAUUAAGAAUAAAAAAUUAAUAUAAGUAGAUUUAAUUUAUUGUAUCUUGUGUAUCAGAGUUUAAAAAAAAAUAUAAAGAUUUUAAAUUUCUCGAAAAAAAUUAAGAGAUAAAAAUUAAAUUUUUAUUAAUGUAAAAAAAUUAUAAAAAAUUAAUUUUUAGAAAUUAAAAGUUAUUCGUUUUUUUUUAUAUCUAGUUAUUUAAGAAAUAAAUUUAAUUUAAUUUUUAUUUUGUAUAUGUAUAUAAGUUUUAAAUAUAAUUAGAUUAAUAAUAAGUUUUAAGAAGUUAUAGAAAAAUUUUUAUAAUAUAAAUAAAAUUAAGUAAAUAUAGGGUUAAGCUUAUAUUUAAAAUUUUAAAUUUUUAAAAUUUGAUUUGAAUAUAAAUUGGAWUWAAUUUAUUAAAAUUAAAAAUUUAUUAAAUAAUUAAUAAAAAUAUGAAUUAUUAAGUUUAAAUGUUAAAAUUAGUAUAAUAAUUGGUUAAAUUUAAGAUUUAAAUAAUAAAUUAAAAUUAAUGAAUUAGGCAAAAAUUUAAUUAUAAAUUAAUUAAAUUAUUUCACUUGUUUAACAAAAACAUGUCUUUUAGAAAAAUUAAAUUUAAAGUCUGAUCUGCCCACUGAAAUUAAAAUUUAAAGGGCUGCAGGAUUUAACUGUACAAAGGUAGCAUAAUAAAUUGUUUUUUAAUUGAAAACUAGAAUGAAAGAUUUAAUGAAAAUAAUACUGUAUAAAUUUUAUUUUUAGAAUUUAUUUUUUUUGUAAGAAAACAAAAAUAUUUUAGAAAGACGAGAAGACCCUUUAGAUUUUAAUUAAUGAUAAAAUUAAAAAUAAUUUAUUUGAAUAUAUUUAAUURAUYAWUAAAUUUAAUUAACUUUAUUUAAAUAUAAUGAAAAAUUUUAAUUAGAGAAUUUUAAUUUUAAAAAUGAUUUAGUUUUAUGGAUUAUAUGAUUAAAUUACCUAAGGGAUAACAGCGUUAUUUAAAUUUUUAGUUCUUAUAAAAAUUUAAGUUUGCGACCUCGAUGUUGGAUUAAGAUUAUUUUAAAUUGCAGAAAGUUUAUAUUUUAGUCUGUUCGACUAUUAAAAUCUUACAUGAUCUGAGUUCAAACCGGUGUAAGCCAGGUUGGUUUCUAUCUUUUAAGAAAAAAAAAAUUAUUUUAGUACGAAAGGAUUGAAUAAUUAAAAUAAAAAAUUUUUAUAGUUUUGAAUUUAAGUAAAUUUUUAAAUUUUAAAAAGAGUAAAAUAA